AGCUCCAAUAGCGUAUACUAAUGUUGUUGCAGUUAAAAAGCUCGUAGUCGGAUUUCAGUAUUAGGCUCGCCAGUCAUGUGACUGAGUGCGUCUUUACUUCUUUAACAGAAUCUUUCAUCGCAUUAAUUUACGGUGUUUGGGGCCUGUUUCUUUUACUUUGAGAAAAUUAGAGUGUUCAAAGCGGGUUUUCGCCUGGAUAUUACUCUUGGAAUAAUAAUAUAGGACUUUGGUUCUUUUUUGUUGGUGACUUAGAACCGAAGUAAUGAUUGAUAGGGACGGUUGGGGUCAUUCGUACUGCAAAGCGAGAGGUGAAAUUCAUGGACCUUUGUAUGACGAACUACUGCGAAAGCAUUUGACUAGGACGUUCCCG
RNAcentral lists this ribosomal RNA (370 nucleotides) under uncultured eukaryote. Its description in RNAcentral is "SSU rRNA". It matches the Rfam family "Eukaryotic small subunit ribosomal RNA", at positions 587 to 972 of the family's 1831-position model. The record is from RNAcentral.